Molecule: long non-coding RNA, 1028 nt
Organism: Drosophila montana
Lineage: Eukaryota; Metazoa; Arthropoda; Insecta; Diptera; Drosophilidae
Exons: 4
Source: RefSeq, a predicted model, not a curated record
CUAGUAGUACAGCCGCUGCCGUUGCCGUUGCCGCUGCUGCUGUUGCUGUUGCUGUUGCUGCUGUAGCGCGCUCCAAGGACAUGGAGAUGGAUAUGGACACAGGGACACAGUCUGACAGUCAUCCGUCUCUCAGACUUAGACCCGGCGCCCCAUUAGGCGUGUGCAUAGCUUUUGUCUUUGCUGUCAUUAUCAACACCGCCGCUUUUGCGUAUUCAUUUUGUUGUGUCACGCUUAGAUGUACAGGGUAUACGGAAACCGCACACACAGCAGCAAAAUAUGCAUUCCUCAUAUGUUAUCCCUUACUCUGAUCGGUAAUUUAAAAGCAAAUCCAAAGACUAAUAUCUACAGCUGAAACUGGCUCUGGCUUAGCAACCAAUGCAUUCCACAAGAGUCUGUAGCCUCAGUCAAUACAACUUGCAAAAGGCAAGAGGCGCCCUUCUUGUGCAGCAUUUACCAAUACCAGUGUCAAGGAGGAGUCCUUUGGCUGCUGGGUCGGCAGUAGGAGCAGCAGUUCAGCCGAGCAGCCACUUGGCAAUGACGAUUGCAAAUAUUGCCUGGCCAACUAGUGCAUAUGGUAUUGUUUAAAUGAUGAGCCGCAAAAGUGCUUUAAUAUAUAUGCUUGCUUUUAAAACACACAUGUACAUAUAAAGUGCCCAGCUGCAUUUCUCUUAAGCAUGAUAUAAACAGCGAAGAGAUAAUAUACCAAACAAUCAUAGCCUAUCUCCAAUAUUGUACUAUGAUUAUUUCCUAAAAAUAAUACUAAAUAACGGAUCAAAGACACGGACAAACAAAGAAAAUAUUGAUAUUACUUGACUCUAUGAGAAUUGAAUAUACGGGUGUGCGUGACAAGCUGAUUAUUCUAAAUUUGAACACAGCUUUAUUAUACCCUGCGUCAUAGCUUAAAAAACAUACGAGUUAAGUUCACAUAGUAAAUUAAAAAAGAAGGUACAAGUUCUAGCGGAAUGAGUUGCUGAAUAGAAAUUAAGAUGUGCAUGUAGAAGUAUAUAGUCAAGUUAUUUCGUUUUCCA